UGUGGUGGUGCAUGCCUGUUGGGAAGCGGAGGCAUGAGGAUCACUUGAGCCUUGGAGAUCUGGGCUGGAGUGGUCUAGGCCAACUGGGUGUCUGCACUAAGUUCAGCAUCAAAUGAUGACUUCCCAGGAGCCACCAGGUUGCCUAAGGAGGGGUCAACCCAGGUUGGAAAUAAAGUCAGUCAAAACCUGCGGAUCAGUGGUAGUAUGAUCACACCUGUGAAUAGCCACUGUACUCCAGCCUAGGCAACAUAGCGAGACACUGUCUCUU
This 268-nucleotide signal recognition particle RNA is filed under the name Otolemur garnettii (small-eared galago). Its description in RNAcentral is "Metazoan signal recognition particle RNA". It matches the Rfam family "Metazoan signal recognition particle RNA". Rfam says of the family: The signal recognition particle (SRP) is a universally conserved ribonucleoprotein. Lineage: Eukaryota; Metazoa; Chordata; Mammalia; Primates; Galagidae. The record is from Rfam by way of RNAcentral.